UACGUAGGGGGCAAGCGUUGUCCGGAUUUAUUGGGCGUAAAGAGCGUGUAGGCGGCCAAGCAGGUCCGUUGUGAAAACUGGAGGCUCAACCUCCAGACGUCGACGGAAACCGUAUGGCUAGAGUCCGGAAGAGGAGAGUGGAAUUCCUGGUGUAGCGGUGAAAUGCGCAGAUAUCAGGAAGAACACCAAUGGCGAAGGCAGCUCUCUGGGACGGUACUGACGCUGAGACGCGAAAGCGUGGGGAGCGAACAGG
RNAcentral lists this ribosomal RNA (253 nucleotides) under uncultured bacterium. RNAcentral's name for it is "partial 16S ribosomal RNA". It matches the Rfam family "Bacterial small subunit ribosomal RNA", at positions 524 to 776 of the family's 1533-position model. The record is from RNAcentral.